GUGGUAAGGCUGGUGUUUUGAAGUACAGUGUGAUUUCAUUGGAUGAACACACUUGUUUUACUGACUCAUGUUUUAUAUAUUAAGUUUAGGAACUGCGGUUUCAGUAAUGGCCAAGAUUCCACUGUUGGAGUGCCUAACCAGACAUAGUUACAGGGAAUGUUUGGGAAGACCGGAUUCUUUAAAUGAACAUGAAGGCUCAGAGAAAGCUGAUAUGAAAAGAUCUACUGAACUGGUGCUCUCUCCUGAUAUGCCUAGAACAACUAACACAUCCUUGUUAACCUCAUUUCACAAGUCAGUGGAGCAUGUAGCUCCAG
This 314-nucleotide long non-coding RNA is filed under the name Rattus norvegicus (Norway rat). RNAcentral describes it as "long non-coding RNA NONRATT023017". Lineage: Eukaryota; Metazoa; Chordata; Mammalia; Rodentia; Muridae. The record is from RNAcentral.